RNAcentral lists this unclassified non-coding RNA (379 nucleotides) under uncultured Rickettsiales bacterium. Its description in RNAcentral is "contains 16S-23S intergenic spacer region". Lineage: Bacteria; Pseudomonadati; Pseudomonadota; Alphaproteobacteria; Rickettsiales. The record is from RNAcentral.
UCCGGCUUAUCACCGGCAGUUUCCCUAUAGUUCCCGACAUUACUCGCUGGCAAAUAAGGAUGAGGGUUGCGCUCGUUGCGGGACUUAACCCAACAUCUCACGACACGAGCUGACGACAGCCGUGCAACACCUGUGUGCGGUCCGGCCUAACCGACGGAUAAUAUCUCUACUAUCCUCGACCGCCAUGUCAAGGGUUGGUAAGGUUUUUCGCGUAACAUCGAAUUAAACCGCAUGCUCCACCGCUUGUGCGAGCCCCCGUCAAUUCCUUUGAGUUUUAAUCUUGCGACCGUACUCCCCAGGCGGAGCGCUUAACGCGUUAGCUACGAAACCGGGAAUAAAUCCCCGAUAUCUAGCGCUCAUCGUUUAGGGCGUGGACUAC